RNAcentral lists this long non-coding RNA (5717 nucleotides) under Triticum aestivum (bread wheat). RNAcentral's name for it is "long non-coding RNA (TAES_LNC003719)". Lineage: Eukaryota; Viridiplantae; Streptophyta; Magnoliopsida; Poales; Poaceae. The record is from RNAcentral.
UUUCAAAUUUACUCUAUUAAUGAUGUAUCAAGUGAGAACUUGAUUUGGGUGUAAGUCUGAAAACUUGCCUCCUGAGCCAUUGAAUCUACAACGAACGGCAUCCAGGUAGAGGUAAACAAUGUUCAAGAGGGUUUCUGGUCUGUUGCCCAUCACAAUCACUAGAUGGAGCCACAGCAGUAGAUGCAGGAGUUUCCAGGUAGAAGAAGGAUAAUAACAGAAAGACCCAUUGCCUGAUCCUUUCAGACGCAUUACCCUAGAUACACUAUUACUAGUCCCAUUACUCCCCCAUUCCCUAGUUGAUCGAGUCGUCCCCUCGCAGGCGCUUGUUAGGUUUCUGGCUCCCCUCAGGGUCCACCACCUCCUUGCAUUGACUAGCGGCUGAAGGAGGGGCUGGGACGCUAGCAUCGUCCAUGAUCGACCUCACCGCGAAGCUCCCGUUCACGUACUUGUCGAAAACCUGGAAGGUGUGCGUCGAGCCAAUAAGAUCAUCGAUUUCGUCGGGCAGGGCGUACCACUCGUCGUCUUCCUCGAUGUUACCGACGAGCUCCUCUGCAGAGACACCGACCAGCUCCUCCGCCACCUCGCAGAAGAUCAUCAGGUCCAUUGUGCCCGUGGCAUCUUCCACCUUCGCCUUCAGCUUGUACCUAGCGUGCCCACAAGGCCAGAACAACGGCAUGGUAAUCAGUAACUUAUGAAUGAGCAACAAGUAUAAAUCGAGAACCACAUAGUGUUGCAGGCCCCUACCACUGAACUGGCCUCUUGAUCGGGCCACAUCGCGCGCACUUGUAUUUCCUUGGGGCCCCGUACAUGGACUUCUGGCAGGUGUCGCAUCCAAGGUAGCACCAGCCAUUGCUGCAAUCUAUGUCUAUCAGAGAGACUCUGCACAAAAACGUGGUAUCCUGCAAGUAAACACAGAGAUAUGUGAGAACAACGGAUUGGCUUUGCACACGCAAACGAGAAGAGGAACAAACUUAAUUCACCUCGUCAUACUCUUCUGGAUCAAGGUUUUUUAGCUGUUCGAUUGUUCGCCAACUCUCGGCUAACUUCUGCGCUGGAGUUUUUUUGGGGACAGGGUUUGCUUUCUGAAUGCGCAGACUGCAUGCACUCGAACCAGUUAGCCAUGUACUAGUACAGCUUAGAUCAAUCAUCAACGUAGGUAUAAACUUAUGAAGUCCACUCACUUUGCACGGAAUUCUUGCACCUCUGGCAUUUCCAAAUCCAGAUAGUACUCUGAAGACGUUGUAGAGCAAACUAUAACACAAAAAGAUCACAAAUGACACCAAAAGGUUUCAGUAUACACUAUGGUUGAAUCGAAUGAUAGACAGACUGAAGUUUUACAAGAAAAUAAAGGAAUAUAAAACAACAGUAAAUGAUAGAGUGGAUCAAGGAUUAACCCGAUGAUGAGGAAUCAACAGACAUCCCUGCAAAGACAGCAACAACUGAGGCGUCUUUGCCUUUCUCGGCCAUAUCUUCAGCAAAACCAGAAGCAAUAUCACCAUACAGUGUGACACCAAGUACCUUUCCUCUGUAAAUGAUAACUCCAGCAGUGAGGAGCUAUCAGGGGACGUCAAUCAUCCAAAAGAAAUAAGUGUAUUCCAUUACCUCAAGUCCCGAAUGCUUGCAUUGCAAAUUUCUAUAACGCGGGAUCUUUUUGUGACCUCAUGUAGCCCCCCGACACCUACUACGUGUCCCAGAAUAUCUGCGUAAUGUAUAUCCACACAUGUAAGGAAAAGAAUAAGAUAACUCUGACCAAACUUUCUGUGCUAAAAGAAUCUACCUGUCAAUAAGCUGUUGUCGCCACACCUAGAACGGAGAUCCUUGAAAUUAACAAACUCAAAGCUGUAGAGGGGAAUCGAAUCAAUCUCCUAUCUCAGUGACCACCGUCUGCCUUCUAAUGUACAUAGUCCACUCAUUGCUACAUGACAUAUAGUAGUCCCUCUGCACAUCAACAUGAAAAUCUGACAAGGCAUAGACCUUCCCUUCAACUAGCCUGUGCUCAAACCGCUCUAUAUCGCCGGGUUCUACACGCGCCUGCAUAGUUUUACCCUACGAGUGGAAUACAACUAGAAGAAUCAGUGCAUUGAGAAAAAGGAUGGUAAUUAAACAUUAGUAGCCAGCAAGCAAUGUGAUUCAGCUGUUUGGUGUUUGACUUAAGGUACGGAAUGCAGCACCUGAUCGUCGAUCAGAAGGCAGUCAAGGCCGAACAAAGUGUCAUUUUUUGGAUUGAAGGACUCCCACAGCCGCGAGAUGCGCACCCGAACUUUACAUUUGUCCAUUCCAUAUUUUAACUGAGACAGUGGGGUGAACACGUCCUCAGCUGAACCCAUUUUGGCCUGGAAGGCUUGAAGCUGCAAAAUAGCAUAGAAAAAAAAGGAAAUAGUGAUUAAUAUUGUACUGUUGUACUCCCUCCGUUCCAAAAUAAGUGUCACUGAUUUAGUACAAAGUGUACUAAAUCAACAACACUUAUUUUGGGAAGGAGGGAGUACAUUUUAAGCUUAGGAGUCCAGUAAUAAAUUUUACCAGUACUCUAAAAGGCUGAAAUUAACCUUCCCAGCAUAAUUUUUUGCUUACUAAACAGGAGUAUUAACUGGUUUAAAUUCUGAGUUGUGUGUGUAUGUUGUGAUGAAAAGGCAUCAGGUGUGUUGCCUGUAAAGCUAUUUUGGGAUGAAAUUUCUUGCAUUUUUCGUGUUGGUCAGAAUACUAGAUGUGAGUUUCAAUAAUGCUGCUACUUUGUGGUAUACAUGGAAAAUUAUAGUAACACGAUUUGCCAUCAAAAGGUGUGACGUCAGCAACCAGAAUAUGAUGCCCCCCAAAAAAGGAUUUUAACAAAUANNNNNNNNNNNNNNNNNNNNNNNNNNNNNNNNNNNNNNNNNNNNNNNNNNNNNNNNNNNNNNNNNNNNNNNNNNNNNNNNNNNNNNNNNNNNNNNNNNNNNNNNNNNNNNNNNNNNNNNNNNNNNNNNNNNNNNNNNNNNNNNNNNNNNNNNNNNNNNNNNNNNNNNNNNNNNNNNNNNNNNNNNNNNNNNNNNNNNNNNNNNNNNNNNNNNNNNNNNNNNNNNNNNNNNNNNNNNNNNNNNNNNNNNNNNNCAACCACUAGGAGCACAGAUCGACUUGACCACGAGUUGUGAUGGAAAACAAAAAAAAAUCCGAAUAAAUGCCGAGAUUAUUCAAGAACUGAGGCCAAGUCAGAUCGCAAACUCAACAGCGCAGUAGAACCUCGCAGCUAUUCAAGGAGGCUACUACAGGAGUGAGGAUCGUUGGAGAAGAAUCGCUCGUGUAGACAUACCGGAGAAAAUCGAUCGCGACAACACAAGAAUCGAGACGAAAACUGUAAUGCGAGUGGUACACAAAAAGGAGGCUGCUCUGCUCUUUUCCCCCGCUUUGACUUGGGAGGAUGGAUGAGGAAGACCUGGGUUUACCUCCGGAACCGAAGUCGCAGAUGCAACUGGUUUUCUCCUCCCCGUCGCCGAGAAGAACGAAGCUUGCUGGAGAAGGAGAAAGGAGGAGGAAGAGGGGUCAGGUCUCGGGCUUGGACGGAGUGGCGGAAGCCUGGGCCGGUGUCCUUGUCGCAAAAGCCUACGAGUUUCUGUCAGGCCCAUUGAUGGGAUAAGACUGCUCAGUCCCCGUCUAUCUUGUCUCAAAAAAAAAAGUCCCCGUCUAUCAUUGUCUAAAAAAAAAGUCCCCGUCUAUCUAAUUUUUUCACAAACCCCUCAAAAAAAAACUAAAUUUCUCACAAACCCCUAAAAAAAUCUAAUUUCUCACAAUACUGUAACAUAUAUUUUUCACCCCCAAAAUAUAGACCACAGGACAAGUAGCCUAUACAACUUUUGCUAGGGCUCCUUUGGUUCCAAGAAAACGUGAAGAAAAGGGUAGGAAUAAGCAACUUUUAUAUGGUUGUAUUAUUAAUGCCCUCGGUUCAAAGGAAUGGGGGCAAAGAAAACAAAACUAUUGAUCUCAAUUUCAAAGGAAAAACAUAGAAAUUCUAAUACCCACUUGAAUUUCCUUUUCAGAUUCAUAUGCGCGAAGAACGAGAUUAAGAUCCCGGCCUCGCCUCGUCCUCGCAAAACCACACCACAUGCACCACGUUUAGUAGGUUGCAUUAGGUUCAGCCAGGUUCGCGUUGUGUAAAUUUUUUUGUUUGGUUGCCUUGUCUACAUCUAUUUUUUGGCUCGUAUGAUGUUAAAACAUAGCUCAGGCAGAGCCGCUAAAAAAUGUCGAAUCAACUAUUUCUAGCAAGCCAGACUCGAGCAAUGCAGGAGAGCACAAGCAGUGGGUCUCACGAUGCAACAUGGUGCAGGACUGGGACAUAGGGUCAGUGGGGUUUGCGCAUGUUCCUGUUUUGCUCAACUCCAUAAUCUCUUCCGCAUAAUUCUUUCUAUUCCACACAACAACACUUUGGCUUGGGAUAAGCUCUACAUGAAAAAGAUGCAAAUCGAUGUUAUGGUUCUAUUCACGUGAUCGGUUCAUAGUUUCAUUAACUAUAAAUGUUCAAUUUCAUGUUCAUGUUCGAAGUUAUUUUGGAUAAAAUUUGUCAAAUCGUCACACGGAUCAUUUGAAUUUUCUUUGACCAAUAAUUUCAUCUUCCUGUUUCACACGGCAUUCGUGUUGUACAUUUUUUUGUUUCAAUGGUCGUAGACAUGUAGAUCUUUAUCGCUCUAGUGCCCUAAUGGAAUGUACAAAUGCAUAUGUGCGAUUUGUUUUACUCACAUUUCUUAACCUCCUUCACCUAGUCCCCUCUAAUCUACGGUGGUCGGUACGAGAUAAAUUCUACACCAAAAAGAUGCACAUCACUGUUUAUGAAUACCUUGAAACUUCAGUGUAGCCCGAACUUUGUCCAAACCUGAGAAGUAUAAAAUGGAAAUUCUUUUCUAUUCUCAUGUUCAAUAGCAGCAGUUCAGAACAUGACCUCAAGCAGCUAGGUGUGGUCAAAACUUCGCUGGCUUUGCCCUGUCCACCUACGUAAGCUUCAUUAUAGUUCACUUCAUUUCAAAUUUACUCUAUUGGCGAUGUGUCCAGUGAAAACUUGAUUUGGGUGAAAACCUGAAAACUUGCCUCUGGUAACCAUCGAUUCUACAACGAACAACAUCUGGUCACCAAAAUGGGCCAAGCCCAUUCUCCAUCAACCAUGAUAACAAGGGAAACAAUGUUCAAAAGGAUUAAACGGGUUCUGGUAUGUUACCCAGCACUAACACUAGAUCCAGUGACUCACAGCAGUAGUUGCAGUUGUUCCCAGGUAGGAGAAGAACAGAAAGCUCCAUUGGCUGAUCCUUUCGGACGCAUUACCCUAGAUACACUAUAACCCUAGAUCUAGGUUGAUCAAGUCGUCGUCGCCUCGCAGCCGCUUGUUAGGCUUCUGGCUUCCCUCAGGGUCAGCUUUCUCCUCCUUGCAUUGACUAGCGGCUGCAGCAGGGGCUGGGACGCUAGCAUCGUCCAUGAUCGACCUCACCGAGAAGCUCCCGUCCAUGUACUUGUCGAAAACCUCGAAGGUGUGCGUCGAGCCAAUAAGAUCCUCGAUUUCGUCUGGCAGGCUGUACCACUCAUCAUCGUCCUCGAUCUUAUUCACGAGCUCCUCCGCGGAGACACCGACCAGCUCCUCCGCCACCUCACAGAAGAUCAUCAGGUUCAUUGCGCCGGUAGCAUCCUGCACCUUCGCCUUCAGCUUGUACCUAGCAUGCCCACAAGGCCAGAACAUAAGUGUGGUAAUCAGUGACUCAUGAAAG